RNAcentral lists this long non-coding RNA (990 nucleotides) under Homo sapiens (human). Its description in RNAcentral is "non-protein coding lnc-FAM135B-6:2". The record is from RNAcentral. Lineage: Eukaryota; Metazoa; Chordata; Mammalia; Primates; Hominidae.
GCUGAUUCUCUUUUCAGACUCAGCCCACCUGCACCCAGGUGAAAUAAACAGCUUUAUUGCUCACACAAAGCCUGUUUGGUGGUCUCUUCACGGGGACACGCAUGAAAUUUGGUGCUGUGAUUCAGACUGGGGGACCUCCCUUGGGAGAUCAAUCCCCUGUCCUCCUGCUCUUUGCUCCGUGAGAAAGAUCCACCUACAACCUCUGGUCCUCAGACCAACCAGCCGAAGGAACAUCUCACCAAUUUUAAAUCUGCCAACAGGUGGUGAAGCUGAGGCAUGCGCCUAGAUCUCUACCUGCUAAUUCUGCAUAUUUCCAUUUUACCACUAUGCCAAGCUGUCAUGCAAACGUCAUGAAGUAGGACCUAAGCAGAGAAGAUUCAAGGCUGCAGAGAACUAGUGUUGCCUUAUGGUUUUCUCCCUGGGGAGUGCUUUGCAUAUGAAGUCAGAAAACAAAGGGGGGCUCUGAAAACUCCUCCAUCCUUGACAAGAUAACACAGAGAAAGGACCAAAAAGGACCAGAGGGAAGAGGAGGUAAAAGGGAAUGAGGCAUGUGACACUGGCUAAAUAAAUCAUUCUCAUUGAAAUUCCAUGUCAUCAUAAGGUUAAUGAAGGUGGGAAUGCUCAUCCCUACCAUUUAUGAUUCUAGCUUUGCUCCUAUGUAAAAUUAAGGUACAGCAGAAGUUUGAGAACCUAUUCAGACAAACUAGUUUUAAAAGAGUAUUCUUUACUUACUAAUUCAGUACACGCCUACUGAGUACUGUUGUGCUGCCAUCACUGGGCCAAGAACUGAGGAUACAAAAAUCAGAAAGAUGUGUUUUUUGCCUUCUAAAACAUAUGGUCUCAGGAGUUAGGACGCUAAAUGGAAAACUAAAUUACAUCUUAAUAGGAGCAAUGGAAUCAUCAGGUGUAUAACCUAGUAGCAGGAAGCUCAAUGGAAAUCCCAGAUGUCCUUACAAAGGGCCACAACAUGCUUAUGGGAGUGUCUGGUAA